This 17-nucleotide transfer RNA is filed under the name Tripodanthus acutifolius. RNAcentral's name for it is "partial tRNA-Phe". Lineage: Eukaryota; Viridiplantae; Streptophyta; Magnoliopsida; Santalales; Loranthaceae. The record is from RNAcentral. RNAcentral also lists the same sequence under 1 other name.
UGGGAUAGCUCAGUUGG